RNAcentral lists this ribosomal RNA (290 nucleotides) under uncultured bacterium. RNAcentral describes it as "partial 16S ribosomal RNA". It matches the Rfam family "Bacterial small subunit ribosomal RNA", at positions 53 to 318 of the family's 1533-position model. The record is from RNAcentral.
ACAUGCAAGUCGAACGGUUUUUCAGGUGUAGCAAUAGCACUUGAAAAGCAGGUGGCGAACGGGUGCGUAACACGUGGAACAAUUUACCGGUUUAGUGUGGAAUAGCUCGGCGAAAGCCGGAUUAAUACCGCAUGUGGUUGUCCUUCUCCUGAAGGGCAUACUAAAGCCGGGGACCGCAAGGCCUGGCGCUAAUAGAGAAGUUCGCGGCCUAUCAGCUAGUUGGCGAGGUAACGGCUCACCAAGGCUAAGACGGGUAGCUGAUCUGAGAGGAUGAUCAGCCCACACUGGAA